Molecule: long non-coding RNA, 1079 nt
Organism: Panthera uncia (snow leopard)
Lineage: Eukaryota; Metazoa; Chordata; Mammalia; Carnivora; Felidae
Exons: 4
Source: RefSeq, a predicted model, not a curated record
CCAUAUUGGCUUCUUUCACGCGGCAAAUGGGUCAAGUUUCUUCCUUGCCUGUUUGUGGCUUCAUAGCUCAUUUCUUUUGAUCUCUGUAAAUAUCACAUUGUCUGGAUGGACCAGUGUCUUUAUCCACUCACCUAUUGGAAGGCAUCUAAACUUUGACAGUUCUAAGUAAAGCGGCUAGAAGCGUUCGUGUGCAGGGUUUGGGGUGGAUGUAAAUGUUCAGCUCAUUUCAACCAGGCCUUUGGAUUCAAACUACUUGGAACCACACCCACCGCUGACUUUCCUGUGUCCCGGUCUGCGAAUGGCUGGUCGGCUGCGAAUGACUUCUCGGCCUUCGUAAUUGCGUUCCCUACCGGGUCUUCUCGUGGUCGGUGGCGGACAGUGGGUGUAACCGCGGAGGAGGCCGUGCAGCGCUCGCCUCGGAUCCUUGGCGGCCGGCCUCCGGGGCACUGACCAGCUCGUGUGAAGGGAACACUCUGGGUGGUUUACUGCUUAGGAUGGCCACUAGCACGCUCUUCAGGCAAUAACUUGAGAAAAUGCCAACGUUCGAGAACUCUAAGUCUCAAUGAUGUUUUGCCUGUCGACUGGAACUGGAAUAUCUGACCGUAUUACAGUCUACACUCAGCAUGUGACAAACCGUUUCCAAAUCCUCUAAUAACAGGCUUCUAAUUCAGUAUGCCAUGGGAUAAAUACUGCAGAUCUUUGACACUGAAGGAGAAAGCUUUCAGUAAUUUUAAGUCCAGGGAUGAUGAAUGUCAGAAAUGUAAUUUCUAAAAUUGGUAGUGGUGCUUUUAUUAAAUUCAAUUCACACCGUGAAUGUCCUUCAAAGAACAUGCAAAAAAAAUGUUUUUUAAUCCAAUUAUUGUUUAUGACUAAAACCUAAGUUUCAACAGAAAUCCAGCUAAACUUUGAAACUCAGAGUUAAAACAUUAAGAAAAUGUUCUGCUCUUGUGUAUGGAUAGAUGAUAAUGUUGUAGACCAAUAGCGUUUGCCAUUUGUGACCAAAUAGUGGUAAAAAGUAAGGCCAUGAAUUACUGGGCUUUUGAUUAGCAUUAAAAUUCUGAAAAUUAAAAAAAAAAAAA